UUGGAUAUCCCGGUGAGACACGAGCUCGAGUUGUUUAUAUGGCUUCUCAAAUGAAUCGAGACGCAACAGAAUGUUUUCGUUUGCUGAUUUGAAUAGAAUUCUUAACCAAGCAUAACGUCAUUAGGAAUUCUAUUCAAGUAAUUUUGCAUGCGUAAUUAAGAUAUUUGAUGAAAACACUAGUGACUUUCAUCAGGUAUCCAAAUGGCAUCUUGUGAUCAAAUAGGUGAUUAUCAUUGGCUGAAUUACUCAUGAAUUAUUAAUGAAUUUGAGAAGUUUAGAUGCCGCUUAAUUGUACAAAUUUACUGUGUUAUUCCAUAGUCGGUUGCAAUGUUUGAAUUUUCUUGUUCAAACUUUAAUGUUCUGGUUGCCACAUCGGAAAAACUAGUAAGAACUUGUUAAAAACAUUCUAAAAGAGAUUAGGUUGUUUUAUUUAUUUCAAAAUCCUAAAUUAUUUCCAGAAAUCAUCAAAACAACCUUACGUCCAUUCAUCGUCCGAACGAGCACCAUCGAAUCGGGCCGUAAUGUAAAUAUAAAUUAGCAAGUUGACGGCAAGCUAAAACACGCUUCAGCCGGUAUUAUAACGCAUUUGAAGUCAGCAAGUGAAUUUAAAAUAGUGUAUUGGAAGCCAUUAUUACUUGAUUUUUACAAGUAAUUGCCAAAAUGCCUCAAUUUGCUCGUUUUGUUGACAAAAUAAGUUAUUUUCAUCAAGUACCGGUUUGUUAUUGCAUCUCAAAUUUUUGACUCUCCAAUCGCCAUCACUUAAAAUAUUAUUAUUCACGAACUUCUGGAUUAUAUUUACGAAACAACCCACCGUUGAAAAGCUGAAUGUCUAAGCUUUAAAAUGAAUGUAAACCUGAACGUUCUGCUUUAAUAUUCGUUUCGAUAGUUAUAUUUGAAGCGAGGACUCCGUUUUUUAUGAUACACCCUGUAUACUGAUUUAAAUUUCUUGUGUUUGCCAUCACAAAUAUUUUCCAACAAUUGUAUCGUGCAUCCAAACGGUUGUAUGCAUCAAAGUGACACCCUGAGUAACUAUGUUGCCUAAAUGUUAUGUACAUUGUCUAACGCCAUAUACAAACCAUCAUAAUAACUUGAUGACUAAUGAUGACUAAUCGAGGAUAUUGUCAUAUUGGGGCAUUUUGUGUAUACCAUAAAUGAUCCACGAAAUGCCAUGCAUAUUUCUAAUAAACGCUCUGG
Molecule: non-coding RNA, 1194 nt
Organism: Paramuricea clavata
Lineage: Eukaryota; Metazoa; Cnidaria; Anthozoa; Malacalcyonacea; Plexauridae
Source: the annotation of a GenBank genome assembly